CGGCCCGGCCGGGGCCCAUCGCGAGCUGCCGGGUAGGUAAAAGUAAAAAAGUUGUUAAGAGGCGCGGUGUCGGCGUGCUUGUAUUUGCGGGAGAGAAUUAUCUGGAGGUGCUGGGUAGCCGGGAAUACUUGGACGGAUCUGGGCCCGGGAAUGGGUCUGGGCCUGGAUUCUGGUGUGGUGUAGGGUAGGCGUAGAUAGAUGAGUGGUCUAGGGUAGAUACAGGGUAGCCAGACGUCUGGUAUAUAGUAUGGGGGUGUAGGGUAGGUCUGGACACCGUUUUCCACUUCGCCCUUCCCUUUAGUCGAGGGAGGACGAUCUUGGCUGGGACGGAGGUGUAGGGUAAGCUUAAUUUACGAUUACAUGAUCUGUGUUACUCUAGGGUAGGUGAAAAUCCCAUAUAUAUCUGAUCACAUUUGGUGAAGAGGUGGUUUGGCUGGUGAGAUGGACAAAAGUGCAAUGUAGAAUUAUAUGUGAUUUUGCAAAAGUGGGUGUGAAAUUGGAAAGUCGGUUUUCCCGCACAGAUGAGAGCACGUUUGAGGUGCCAUGAGAUGCACCUCUCCGAGACGACCUCAACGGUGCCACCCAUGUGUUGGUCGGGCUCCUGUGCGGCCGUCCAGGGCGGGAUAAGUAGAGAAUGUGGUGGUGUAGGGUAGGUGACCAGGUCCAGGGUAGGUUCGCCAAAUCCGUCAAUCCGGCUUGAAUCGAAGGACAGGUCUAGGGUAGGCCAGAGUCGGGUCUAGGGUAGGCAACCCUCACCCUCGAAGUGGUCUACCCGGUAGCCAACUUCAAUCGCCUCUCACGGCCGCCACGGACCUCGCAUGACGACGGGACUACCACCAUCGGAUUCGCCUUGGUCGAAAUAGCUGGUAUAUGCACUUUUGAAAAAAUGCGUGCAAAAUGGUUUUGUGGUUUGGUGGCCGUGAGUCGAUUUUUUUGUUUUUCCAUACAAAUGAAUUUUGCGGAAAAUAAAAAGUGGCCCACGAGGCAGUCCUGGCGUGCGGCCCACUAAAACGGUCUCGGAGGGUAUAUGAGAAGGGAGCAAAUCCGGCCGAGCCUGAAAGGGUGAGGACAAACCGGGCGAGCAACCUCUCAGUAUCAGAUCUUGCAGACUUCCACUGCGUGUCCCUCUGUACAGCUUUGCAGGCUCCGGCCUCGGCAGCGGGGGGUUCAUAGUGGUCGUCGACCUCCACGAAACUGCACGCUCCGGCGUGACAGCGUACUGGGGAUGCCUGUGUAGAUGCAGUCCGGGCUUGCCUGGACCGCUAGCAGAUGGGCUCUGUGGAUGACUGGCCGCUGGCUAGACCUGAAACCUGAGCAACGGGAGGUAACCUCUCGCCGCGGACACCGGAAUGGUAGAAGCGGCGUGCUGCGUCCUCCUCUUGGGGCCCCUAAGCCACACCUCCCAUAGCGGGUUCGGUGCGGCGGACGGACGCCCUGGGGAAUUUAGAGGGGGAAAGCGGAUUGCCCUAGCGGUGUUGUUGGCCCUGCCGACCUCACUGCGAAAGGCGCGACUUCACCGUCGCCACCCAGUAACUUGUC
This 1539-nucleotide unclassified non-coding RNA is filed under the name Fusarium oxysporum. RNAcentral describes it as "partial miscellaneous RNA". The record is from RNAcentral. Lineage: Eukaryota; Fungi; Ascomycota; Sordariomycetes; Hypocreales; Nectriaceae.